GAUGAACGCUGGCGGCGUGCCUAAUACAUGCAAGUCGAGCGAACGGACGAGAAGCUUGCUCCUCUGAUGUUAGCGGCGGACGGGUGAGUAACACGUGGAUAACCUACCUAUAAGACUGGGAUAACUUCGGGAAACCGGAGCUAAUACCGGAUAAUAUUUUGAACCGCAUGGUUCAAUAGUGAAAGACGGUUUUGCUGUCACUUAUAGAUGGAUCCGCGCUGCAUUAGCUAGUUGGUAAGGUAACGGCUUACCAAGGCAACGAUGCGUAGCCGACCUGAGAGGGUGAUCGGCCACACUGGAACUGAGACACGGUCCAGACUCCUACGGGAGGCAGCAGUAGGGAAUCUUCCGCAAUGGGCGAAAGCCUGACGGAGCAACGCCGCGUGAGUGAUGAAGGUCUUCGGAUCGUAAAACUCUGUUAUUAGGGAAGAACAAAUGUGUAAGUAACUGUGCACGUCUUGACGGUACCUAAUCAGAAAGCCACGGCUAACUACGUG
RNAcentral lists this ribosomal RNA (497 nucleotides) under uncultured bacterium. RNAcentral describes it as "partial 16S ribosomal RNA". It matches the Rfam family "Bacterial small subunit ribosomal RNA", at positions 28 to 507 of the family's 1533-position model. The record is from RNAcentral.